UACGUAGGGUGCAAGCGUUGUCCGGAAUUAUUGGGCGUAAAGAGCUCGUAGGCGGUUCGUCGCGUCGGCUGUGAAAUCCCGAGGCUCAACCUCGGGUCUGCAGUCGAUACGGGCGGACUGGAGUUCGGCAGGGGAGACUGGAAUUCCUGGUGUAGCGGUGAAAUGCGCAGAUAUCAGGAGGAACACCGGUGGCGAAGGCGAGUCUCUGGGCCGAUACUGACGCUGAGGAGCGAAAGCGUGGGGAGCGAACAGG
Molecule: ribosomal RNA, 253 nt
Filed under: uncultured bacterium
Lineage: Bacteria
Description: partial 16S ribosomal RNA
Rfam family: Bacterial small subunit ribosomal RNA
Source: RNAcentral